This 1545-nucleotide ribosomal RNA is filed under the name Triticum aestivum (bread wheat). RNAcentral describes it as "partial small subunit ribosomal RNA". The record is from RNAcentral. Lineage: Eukaryota; Viridiplantae; Streptophyta; Magnoliopsida; Poales; Poaceae.
AUGUUAAUCGACAAAACUUGCUGGAAAGACAAGGAUUUGCCGAAGUCAAAGAAAAAUGACGAAGUAGAGUCUCAGGAUAGCAUUGAUAUGUUCAAGCUCUGCAACUUGAAGCCAGCUUUGCCAACCACCUUUCCUAUGCCAGAUUUUAGCAACCAAGAUAUGUGUGAGCAGAUCAACUUUGCCAUUGACAAGAGCCUGUUCUUAUCAAGUGUUGCUGAAAAGAAUCAAAUUGACAUGGAGGAAGCAGGAAAGGGUCUUGACUGGGUUCAUUCAAAAGAAAAAUACAAGGAAUAUUUGAAGCAGCUUCCAGACCUAAGCUCCGGCAAGAGCAAGGCAACAUCCAUGGCAAACCCUCACGUGGUGCAGAAGGGUAAAGCAGUUUCAAUGAAGAAGAAUCUGCAGUUGCCUGAAACCAAGGAGAAGAUGGUGAGUGCAGAUGCUGAAGUAAAUAUGGUCAAGGAAGCUAUGCUUCAAACUGAUAUGCCAACUGUAGUGAGCAGAGAGCCAACCACCAUCACAGGAGUUCAACAGAUCAAGGGGAAGACUCCCCUUUCAACAGUCCCACCAAAACCACCUAAGCAGCAAAAGAUUGUCAAGUUUGCCAGGGGCACAAAGGGGGAACAAGCCACAAAAGGUUUGGGGUUCAGAGACGAGAGAGAACUGCGAGCCGCAACCAUUGAUGCAGGGGUGCCAAGUUCUGCUAGGUUGCUGCCAACUCAGACUGGAAAGAUGCCAACUACAGAUACCAGUGUGCCAACUGAUGUGUCAGCUAGCAGCAUGGUCACAGUCAAAACCACCACAGCUUCUCAGGAAGGCACCACUGCAACUGCAAGCCCCAAGGUGCCUACUCAUAGAGAUGCUUCAAUGCCAAACACAAAAGAAGGUGAUCCUACUACCAAAUUGUCGUCCCCAAGAGCCAGCACACAGCAGCCAAGCAAGCCUACAUCACCAAGAGCUGACUCUCAGCAACCAUUAACACAAGAGGAGGUGUUCAAGAUUAUAAGUAGGUGCAAGCCUCCAAGGCCGCAAACUACAACACUAUCGCGAACCAACUCAGUGAACGAUGCACCCGUGUUUGUGCCGCAAGGAGAUGCCCUGGUCCUUGAACCCAUACGAAGAUCAAAGUCUUAUCAUGGUGACGGGUUCUGUGAUGCACCAUCUUUUGACCUCGGCAUAGAUGGUCAUGCUCCAGCACCUGCUCCAGCAGCAGAAACAGCGGAAGACUGUGUGAUUAGUAUUGAUGAGUCAUCUCAAAGGUCUCCAUUCAUUGACUACAACAAGAAGAAGUCUUUCAGCUCCAAUGAGGCAGUGAACAAGCUUUACGCUGCCCUCUUGUAUUGGGUCAGGCAUCACGAAGGAGCAAAUGAUGAAGCUACCAGGUAUGGUGAUUUCUACAUUUCUUUAAAGGAGUUAGUUGAUUCGAUGAAGCCGGUUCAGUGGCUGUCAAAAAUUGUUAUUGAGAUUGGAAUCUUACACAUCAUGGAGAGCUUACCCGAAGGGUCAAAGAAGGUUGUUAUGCCACUGAGGUUUUCGAUGAAUUUAUAG